AGUGAACGCUGGCGGUAGGCCUAACACAUGCAAGUCGAACGGCAGCACAGGAGAGCUUGCUCUCUGGGUGGCGAGUGGCGGACGGGUGAGGAAUACAUCGGAAUCUACUUUUUCGUGGGGGAUAACGUAGGGAAACUUACGCUAAUACCGCAUACGACCUACGGGUGAAAGCAGGGGACCUUCGGGCCUUGCGCGAUUGAAUGAGCCGAUGUCGGAUUAGCUAGUUGGCGGGGUAAAGGCCCACCACAGCGACGAUCCGUAGCUGGUCUGGUAGGAGGAUCAGCCACACUGGAACUGAGACACGGUCCAGACUCCUACGGGAGGCAGAAGUGGGGAAUAUUGGACAAUGGGAGCAAGCCUGAUCCAGCCAUACCGCGUGGGUGAAGAAGGCCUUCGCGUUGUAAAGCCCUUUUGUUGGGAAAGAAAUCCAGCUGGCUAAUACCCGGUUGGGAUGACGGUACCCAAAGAAUAAGCACCGGCUAACUUCGUGCCAGCAGCCGCCGUAA
This 506-nucleotide ribosomal RNA is filed under the name uncultured bacterium. Its description in RNAcentral is "partial 16S ribosomal RNA". It matches the Rfam family "Bacterial small subunit ribosomal RNA", at positions 29 to 523 of the family's 1533-position model. The record is from RNAcentral.